AAGGAUCAUUAUUGAAAUAAACCUGAUGAGUUGCUGCUGGUUCUCCAGGGAACAUGUGCACACUUGUCAUUUUUAUAUUUCCACCUGUGCACCUUUUGUAGACUUGGAUAUCUUUCUGAAUGCUUUUUGUAGCAUGUCAGGUUUGAGGAUUGACUUUAUUGUCUGUCUUUACAUUUCCAGGUCUAUGUUCUUUCAAUAUACCCCUAAUGUAUGUUAUAGAAUGUAGUAAGUGGGCCUNUGUGCCUAUAAACCUUAUACAACUUUCAGCAACGGAUCUCUUGGCUCUCGCAUCGAUGAAGAACGCAGCGAAAUGCGAUAAGUAAUGUGAAUUGCAGAAUUCAGUGAAUCAUCGAAUCUUUGAACGCACCUUGCGCUCCUUGGUAUUCCGAGGAGCAUGCCUGUUUGAGUGUCAUUAAUAUAUCAACUUCUUCAGCUUUUGCUUGUUGAGUGUUGGAUGUGGGGGUUUUGCUGGCCUUUGUAAAGGUCAGCUCCCCUGAAAUGCAUUAGCGGAACANUUUGUUGACUGUUCAUUGGUGUGAUAAUUAUCUGCGCUAUUGAACUGUGAGGCAAGUUCAGCUUCUAAUAGUCCAUUGACUUGGACAAAUUUUUUUCAUUUAAUGUGACCUCAAAUCAGGUAGGACUACCCGCUGAACUUAA
This 657-nucleotide ribosomal RNA is filed under the name Cortinarius illibatus. RNAcentral describes it as "eukaryotic LSU rRNA". The stretch from base 259 to 412 matches the Rfam family "5.8S ribosomal RNA". The record is from RNAcentral. Lineage: Eukaryota; Fungi; Basidiomycota; Agaricomycetes; Agaricales; Cortinariaceae.